AUGAAACGUCUGGUCACAACGGCUAAGGGACGACGAAUCUUAGGAUACAUUUUGGCACUCCCUCUGUUGCCACAUGGGGACAUGAGCAGGGAGGUAAAGCAAAUAGAAAGAAUGAUCAGGAAACAUGGAUGUGGAAAAUUUGCUGAACUCCUUGCUUAUGCCAAAAAGCAAUGGAUUGAAGAAAGAAAGUCAGCCAAAGAAACAGCAAACAUAAUAGAAGAUGUUUUGAAAAACGUUCCGCAAGCAGGUAAAAUAUUGAAAUAUUAUUACUUUAUCACUUUAUGGAAUUAAGUAGUCCCUUUUGUAAACACCACUUCUUGAAUAAACGCAGUUUUGAAGUAUGGGAGCCUUAGUUGUGAGAUUUUUUUUUUUUUUUGUUUUAACCAAGCUUUAAAUAGGCCCAAUUAGCUAAUUCCACACUUACCACCAGCCCCGGGUGACCGUUGUCCGAGACGAUCAGACUGGGAUCACCUGGUCGGGAAUCGAACCUGGGAUCUCUUGGUUUUAGGGCCAACGCUACAACCACUAUAUCAACAGGAGAGGUGAGAGCAACCCAGUGUGGUAUAGAUGUUCUUCUAUCUCCCAUUUAAUUUGGUCCCUUAUAGGAGAUGUACCUACAAUCCUAUCAGGGGUAAUGUAGGAGGGUGUAAAAAUAAACGGGUUAACUUUUUGGUUGAGGCUUUCCAAAGAAAAGGAGUAGGGAGUCUAAGUGAAAACCUUCACAUGCCCUUAAGUUCUGGGCAGAUGGUAAAACAAAAAUCUGGAAGAAAUUUGUUUGACAGUGACAUAUCAGUGUGAACAGACGAACCAUAUUAGGGUUCCAUAUAACCAUACGAACCAUAUAACCAUAUAACCAUAUAUUAAUGUGUAUUUUUUAAGGAUGAACAUAUUUUAAUUUUGCCAUGAUUUGGUAUCAGAUAACAGCAGCAGUGAGACUUAAACACAGUUGUCCUACGCAGCACAACAGACUGCAUGUCGUGGAAAUGUUUAGGGGAGCAAUUAUAUUGUGUCAAAGUUGUUCCACUACCUUUUUGAACCCUUGAAGCUAACUAAAAGGAUGCUCCAAGUAGCAAAGUUGAAGAGAAUAUUAUGCCCUCCACAAACUUUCCGGUUCUUCUUGGCCCCACUCUAAAUACUGAAUGAAAAGUUCAGGUUUUUGAUUUCCAAUGCUGCCAUGGGAGCCUGAAAGUUUCGACUAAAAAUUACAUUAGUGUAAAUGCUGAAAAAUCUAGCCGUGCUGAAUUGACAUGUAAUCAGGGUAGAAAAUGUCUUUGCAGUGAAGCGACCCCCCAAAAUGCCAAACGAGCGCAAUGACAUCUGCAACGUCCAUUCCAAAAUCUGAUGACAUUUUCAACAUUUCUACGGACGCAUACGACUCUGACGACUCGACUGAAGUAGAGAAGUCUCUAUUCUUAUACGUUUCUCCCCUGUUUUUUCGCCCCCUUUUACGCACAAUUUGGACGGUCAGGGGUGAGGGGAGAUUCAACUUGUUGGGAGUGUGAUUUGAUGGUCACCUUUUAAACCCUCCCUUUGUAAAAAAGUUCUUUAUUCCACUUAGUUCGUUUGCAGUUAGUUCGGCAACCAAUUGGCAACGCUGUAUUGUUGUGAAGCGUUAUUAAAAAAGAUAUCGGCGACGUUUCUCAGCAAAGAAGCCUUACCUGAUCUAUUCUGUACAGAUGCAGUUUGUUUGGCAACAUGGGAUCAUUUAUUGCACAUUUUAUGUCAGUCGGCAACACCGCAUUGCACGGUGAUCUGAAAAACACACAGCCGUUGCUGAUGGAAUCGUUGCUUCCAGGACGUUAAAUUCACCUUGCUGGUAGCAUUUUUAAAGGCAAAACAAGAACUAAUUUUCGCAAUUAUAGAGAUCCCAUGGUGUGAACCUGCUGACCGGCGUACCAUUAGAAAUAACGUUUCUGGAGGGGCCAGCCCCCCCCUGCCAAUGUUCAUGCUUAGGUGAUUCGAUGAAUGCCAUAUUUUGUGUCAGAACGACGUGCGAUGUAUCGCAUCAAUCGGUUCCAUUUCUUCAGCUCCUCGUCAUUUUUCUCAAAUUUGGAGAACGUAAUUCUGAAGUCAGGAGACUAAAGCACUCACUUACCAAUUUUUACAAACAAAUUCAACAUAAUAAAGGCGUGAUUUUAUAGAGAGAAAACAUCGCAUUCGAUACUGACAUCAAAACUGCACACGAAUGCGAUAUUCUCUCUCUAAAAAAACCACGCCUUCAUUAUGUUGAAUUUCUUUGUUAGAAUUGGUAAGUGAGUGCUUAAAUCUCCUGAAAACAGAAUUGCGAUCUCAAAAUUUGAGAUAAAUGACAGGUAGCUGAAAAAAUGGAACCAAUUGAUGCGUUAUAUCGCAUGCCGUUCUGACACAAAAUAUGGCAUCCAUCAAAUCACCUUAAGUGACUAUCAUGGUAUCAUGAAUUCACCUGGAUUCACUAGACAGAACCAUGAAUAUUCCUGAAAACUACAUACCUAAUCAUCCUGAGCAAACUUCCAGAGAAAGCGUAAAAAGUAUGACUCAAUAAUAGCCGCUCACUCAACAUUAUUUUCCUUGCGCUACAAAGUAAUAUAAUUGAAAACUGCAUCGAAGAAUGCAAAGGGGCAAACAGGAUAGAUCUUCAGAAUGAAAUGUUGGCCUUCGAAUAAGACUGUGAAGUCCUGUCGUAAGUAUGCAAUUCUAAUCAAAUUUGGGUACGUACUCAGGUAACUACACACUUGAGGGAUGCUUUCUUACUUCAGCCGGCUUACAAAUUAAAAAGUAGCGUUUCCAAAAUGUGUAUUGGAAACUUGAGGGUACUGUAACACUGGAAACUUUAAACUAACACUUAGAGUAGAAGGGGAGGAAAGAAAGUCGGCUAAGAGACGGGAAAAACGAAGAACUGAGGAGGUCAUGAAAUGAAUUACCUAAGUACGUUACAACAUAAUGAACUAUUAUUUACACCUUUACAAGGACAGAAUUGAAAUCAAAAGUAAAUCUCAAACCUCGAUUCCAGAACCAAACCAACAUGGAACAGGCGAUGAGCAAGGUUCUCCAGCUAGGCAGUCAUGUUCGGAGCACGCCAUCACAGGAUCAAGACAUUGGAAAGGACUCGAACUCUCGGCGCGCGACAAUUAUAAGCACAUGAACCACUCGAGCUUCGACGAUUUUACGCACAUAACGAAGAAUUCACAACGAGAACAGCAGAAGAGAUGUUAACCGGGACUUCGAAUUCCGAUCGCACAACACUGAGUUAUGGAGGAAUUGGUUAUAGACCGAAUGACCGGACCGCGUGGUGAAGCGAGGAAAAUCAAAACCUUAUAACAUUACCCGGCGCGAUAGAAUCCAGGAAGAAACGCACUUCGAAGGUCCACUCAAGGGUGGAACAGCCGUGGGAUGAUACAAUUUUGCUUAAAACUCAGGAAAAGCUGAGAGGUUUCGGCAAAUAGGGGGCGGCAUGGCAUGCACGUUCAGCACGUUGCGACCUGUUGUCUUUGUCUCCUCAAAGCAACGCGUUUCCGGACGAUCCGAACUGUAAACGCAUGCAGCGCGCGCACGGACUGCGGGCAAGUCGGCGGGCGGAGAGGAGAAGAAUGAACUGCGAGGGAAAGGGGAAGGGGUAGACGCAGAGACAAAGACGGUACGCGCGC
Molecule: long non-coding RNA, 3623 nt
Filed under: Bemisia tabaci
Lineage: Eukaryota; Metazoa; Arthropoda; Insecta; Hemiptera; Aleyrodidae
Description: lncRNA ENSASIAIIG000826
Source: RNAcentral